RNAcentral lists this ribosomal RNA (254 nucleotides) under uncultured bacterium. RNAcentral's name for it is "partial 16S ribosomal RNA". It matches the Rfam family "Bacterial small subunit ribosomal RNA", at positions 524 to 776 of the family's 1533-position model. The record is from RNAcentral.
UACGUAGGGUGCAAGCGUUGUCCGGAAUUAUUGGGCGUAAAGAGCUCGUAGGCGGUCUGUUGCGUCGGCUGUGAAAACCCGCGGCUCAACCGUGUGGUCUGCAGUCGAUACGGGCAGGCUAGAGUUCGGUAGGGGAGACUGGAAUUCCUGGUGUAGCGGUGAAAUGCGCAGAUAUCAGGAGGAACACCGGUGGCGAAGGCGGGUCUCUGGGCCGAUACUGACGCUGAGGAGCGAAAGCGUGGGGAGCGAACAGG